RNAcentral lists this ribosomal RNA (253 nucleotides) under uncultured bacterium. RNAcentral describes it as "partial 16S ribosomal RNA". It matches the Rfam family "Bacterial small subunit ribosomal RNA", at positions 524 to 776 of the family's 1533-position model. The record is from RNAcentral.
UACGUAGGGGGCUAGCGUUGUCCGGAAUCAUUGGGCGUAAAGAGCGCGUAGGCGGCCAGAUAAGUCCGGUGUGAAAGUCAAAGGCUCAACCUUUGAAUGCCGCUGGAAACUGUCUGGCUAGAGUCCGGGAGGGGCGAGUGGAAUUCCAGGUGUAGAAGUGAAAUUCGUAGAUAUCUGGAGGAACACCGGAGGCGAAGGCGGCUGUCUGGCAAGACACUGACGCUGAGGCGCGAAAGCGUGGGGAUCAAACAGG